RNAcentral lists this ribosomal RNA (252 nucleotides) under uncultured bacterium. RNAcentral describes it as "partial 16S ribosomal RNA". It matches the Rfam family "Bacterial small subunit ribosomal RNA", at positions 524 to 776 of the family's 1533-position model. The record is from RNAcentral.
UACGUAGGGGGCAAGCGUUGUCCGGAAUUAUUGGGCGUAAAGCGCGCGCAGGCGGCUAUUUAAGUCUUAUGUUUAAAGCCAAGGCUCAACCUUGGAUCGCAUGGGAAACUGGGUAGCUUGAGUGUAGGAGAGGAAAGUGGAAUUCCACGUGUAGCGGUGAAAUGCGUAGAUAUGUGGAGGAACACCAGUGGCGAAGGCGACUUUCUGGCCUAUAACUGACGCUGAGGCGCGAAAGCGUGGGGAGCAAACAGG